UGCAAAUUCGACAAAGGCAACGCGAACAACGAUAGACGAAUAAUAUAUCAGUUUCGAUUUCGCUUUCAACAAUCCAACAUCUUCUGUUCAAUCGAAGAAAUGUCUGACAAAGGCAAGACGCCAUAUCAAGGAAAAGGUCGCUGUUUUGGAGAAUAUUUUUGCGAACAGUGUACUCGAACCUGGAUGUCUGGCAAUUCUUGGAAAAAUACUGCCCAAAUGUGCACCAACUGCAAUGUUCGCGUCUUUCCACAUAAACAGAGACCACUACAGAAGCCUGACGGGCUGGAUGUCUCCGAUCGAACUAAGUCUCAUCCGCAAGAAUUAUGCGAUCGUUGCAAGCAACUCGGUAGAUUUUGUGGA
Molecule: long non-coding RNA, 360 nt
Organism: Bradysia coprophila
Lineage: Eukaryota; Metazoa; Arthropoda; Insecta; Diptera; Sciaridae
Source: RefSeq, a predicted model, not a curated record